GAGGGUGCAGCUUCGUGGCAGAGCGCAUGCUUAGUGUGCACGAGGUCCUGGGUUCAAUCCCCAGUGCCUCCU
RNAcentral lists this transfer RNA (72 nucleotides) under Camelus ferus (Wild Bactrian camel). It matches the Rfam family "tRNA". From Rfam's summary of the family: Transfer RNA (tRNA) molecules are approximately 80 nucleotides in length. Their secondary structure includes four short double-helical elements and three loops (D, anti-codon, and T loops). The record is from Rfam by way of RNAcentral. Lineage: Eukaryota; Metazoa; Chordata; Mammalia; Artiodactyla; Camelidae.